Molecule: ribosomal RNA, 253 nt
Filed under: uncultured bacterium
Lineage: Bacteria
Description: partial 16S ribosomal RNA
Rfam family: Bacterial small subunit ribosomal RNA
Source: RNAcentral
UACGAAGGGUGCAAGCGUUACUCGGAAUUACUGGGCGUAAAGCGUGCGUAGGUGGUUUGUUAAGUCUGUUGUGAAAGCCCCGGGCUCAACCUGGGAAUGGCAAUGGAUACUGGCAGGCUAGAGUGCGGUAGAGGGUAGUGGAAUUCCCGGUGUAGCGGUGAAAUGCGUAGAGAUCGGGAGGAACACCAGUGGCGAAGGCGAAUCUCUGGACAGUAACUGACGCUGAGGCACGAAAGCCAGGGGAGCAAACGGG